UAAGACGAACCGGUCGAACGUUAUUCGGAAUUACUGGGCUUAAAGAGUGCGUAGGCGGCCUAGAAGGUGAGGUGUGAAAUCCCUCGGCUCAACCGAGGAACUGCGCUUCAAACCACUAGGCUUGAGGGAGACAGAGGUGAGCGGAACUGAUGGUGGAGCGGUGAAAUGCGUUGAUAUCAUCAGGAACACCGGUGGCGAAGGCGGCUCACUGGGUCUCUUCUGACGCUGAGGCACGAAAGCUAGGGUAGUGAACAGGAUUAGAUACCCUGGUAGUCCUAGCUGUAAACGAUGAGCACUUGUUCGGGGGGACCUCCACAUCCUCCUGGACGUAGCGAAAGUGUUAAGUGCUCCGCCUGGGGAGUAUGGUCGCAAGGCUG
RNAcentral lists this ribosomal RNA (377 nucleotides) under uncultured Planctomycetota bacterium. Its description in RNAcentral is "bacterial SSU rRNA". It matches the Rfam family "Bacterial small subunit ribosomal RNA", at positions 521 to 896 of the family's 1533-position model. Lineage: Bacteria; Pseudomonadati; Planctomycetota. The record is from RNAcentral.